UACGGAGGGUGCAAGCGUUGUUCGGAAUUAUUGGGCGUAAAGCGCGUGUAGGCGGGAAGACAGGUCAGUUGUGAAAUCCCUUGGCCUAACCAAGGAACUGCAUCUGAAACCUUUUUCCUCGAGUACGAUAGGGGAGGGCGGAAUUCCCAGUGUAGAGGUGAAAUUCAUAGAUAUUGGGAGGAACACCAGUGGCGAAGGCGACCCUCUGGAUCGAUACUGACGCUGAGACGCGAAAGCGUGGGUAGCAAACAGG
Molecule: ribosomal RNA, 253 nt
Filed under: uncultured bacterium
Lineage: Bacteria
Description: partial 16S ribosomal RNA
Rfam family: Bacterial small subunit ribosomal RNA
Source: RNAcentral